CUGACUUGCCUCACUGUGGUUGGCGGUGGCGGUGAUAGAGACUGCAGCACGACCAGAGUGGCUUUUCUGGCUUUGCCUGCCCAGCUGCUCCGUGCCAGGAGGAGGAGGAGACACCUAGAGCUUGCGACACCACGGCUCGCCUCGUUGCUGGUGGGUGGCAGCGAUGGAGACCGCAGUGCACCGGAGCGCAGCCUUCUGAUGACAGAUGGCCAACCCAGAGAAUCCAGGACAGCCCCCCAUC
Molecule: long non-coding RNA, 241 nt
Organism: Nomascus leucogenys (northern white-cheeked gibbon)
Lineage: Eukaryota; Metazoa; Chordata; Mammalia; Primates; Hylobatidae
Exons: 3
Source: RefSeq, a predicted model, not a curated record